Molecule: transfer-messenger RNA, 345 nt
Filed under: Erythrobacter sp.
Lineage: Bacteria; Pseudomonadati; Pseudomonadota; Alphaproteobacteria; Sphingomonadales; Erythrobacteraceae
Rfam family: Alphaproteobacteria transfer-messenger RNA
About the family: Bacterial tmRNA, also known as 10Sa RNA or SsrA, is named for its dual tRNA and mRNA-like properties. Its role is to liberate the mRNA from a stalled ribosome.
Source: RNAcentral
UCACUUCACAUUAAGCGGGCGCGGCCUAUAUAGGGCGUGCCCGUCGUUGCGGGCUAUGGCGAUAAAUUGCGCUGUGUAAUAGGCACAACGGACCCGGGGGCAGUACCCGGCGGCUCCACCAUAACCCUCGGAAUUUACGGGGUUUCUGACGGGGCCGAACCAGGAUCGACGUGUGUUGAAAGGCAGUGUUUUCACCCGGGCUGAGUAACCCGUUAAAGGCUCAAAACACACAAGUGCCAAUGAUAAUGAAGCACUCGCUGUUGCAGCGUAAUUCUAUGGCCUAACGGCUUGAAUUUACAAAGCUAAAGCGCGGUUGGACCCACCGGGCAACAGAAGCGGAUUCCG